RNAcentral lists this unclassified non-coding RNA (385 nucleotides) under Eucalyptus ligulata subsp. ligulata. RNAcentral describes it as "partial external transcribed spacer". Lineage: Eukaryota; Viridiplantae; Streptophyta; Magnoliopsida; Myrtales; Myrtaceae. The record is from RNAcentral.
CCCUCACUUUCGAUCAGUUGUUGCUCCACGAGAUAAACGUUGGACGCAAGACAUGGGUUCCUGUGUUGCAUACCUAUUGCGACGGAAAUGUGUGCCUUCGAUCGUCCCUUCCAUCACGGCGUCCUCACGGAUGCUCGGUUGGACCGGAUAGUGGGGCUCGUGUUCCACGAACGUCGUCUCAUUCGAUCGUUCGGAUGGACCACGGGUGCCCRCUCGUUCUCUCGGAUGCGGAACUCUMUUAAUGGGCGUGGGGUCAUUGGCCCUUGGUCCCUAAUCGUUAAGCGUUUAUCGCUUCACCGGAAUGACGAUCUCGCCUUGUCCUUGACCACGCGAAGCCCUCGGGCAUMGCGACGGAUCAUGCUCGGCGGACGUCGUGAAGGAAUGC